RNAcentral lists this ribosomal RNA (305 nucleotides) under uncultured bacterium. Its description in RNAcentral is "bacterial SSU rRNA". It matches the Rfam family "Bacterial small subunit ribosomal RNA", at positions 333 to 654 of the family's 1533-position model. The record is from RNAcentral.
UGGUUCCUACGGGGCGCAGCAGUGGGGGAUAUUGGACAAUGGGGGGAACCCUGAUCCAGCGACGCCGCGUGAGUGAAGAAGUAUUUCGGUAUGUAAAGCUCUAUCAGCAGGGAAGAAAAUGACGGUACCUGACUAAGAAGCCCCGGCUAACCACGUGCCAGCAGCCGCGGUAAUACGUAGGGGGCAAGCGUUAUCCGGAUUUACUGGGCGUAAAGGGAGCGUAGGUGGCAUGGUAAGCCAGAAGUGAAAACCCAGGGCUCAACUCUGUGGAUUGCUUUUGGAACUAUCAAGCUAGAGUGUUGGAG